This 66-nucleotide transfer RNA is filed under the name Stethoconus japonicus. RNAcentral describes it as "tRNA-Thr". It matches the Rfam family "tRNA". Rfam says of the family: Transfer RNA (tRNA) molecules are approximately 80 nucleotides in length. The record is from RNAcentral. Lineage: Eukaryota; Metazoa; Arthropoda; Insecta; Hemiptera; Miridae.
GUUUUAAUAGUUUAAAUUUAAAAUAAUGGUCUUGUAAGCCGUAGAUAGAAUAAAUUCUUUAAAACU